UACGAAGGGGGCUAGCGUUGUUCGGAUUAACUGGGCGUAAAGGGUGCGUAGGCGGGUUUUAAGUCAGGGGUGAAAUCCCGAGGCUCAACCUCGGAACUGCCUUUGAUACUGGAAAUCUUGAGUCUGGGAGAGGUGAGUGGAACUGCGAGUGUAGAGGUGAAAUUCGUAGAUAUUCGCAAGAACACCGGUGGCGAAGGCGGCUCACUGGCCCGGAACUGACGCUGAGGCACGGAAAGCGUGGGGAGCAAACAGGG
Molecule: ribosomal RNA, 254 nt
Filed under: uncultured bacterium
Lineage: Bacteria
Description: partial 16S ribosomal RNA
Rfam family: Bacterial small subunit ribosomal RNA
Source: RNAcentral